This 778-nucleotide ribosomal RNA is filed under the name Tetraploa juncicola. RNAcentral describes it as "partial large subunit ribosomal RNA". It matches the Rfam family "Eukaryotic large subunit ribosomal RNA", at positions 80 to 875 of the family's 3401-position model. Lineage: Eukaryota; Fungi; Ascomycota; Dothideomycetes; Pleosporales; Tetraplosphaeriaceae. The record is from RNAcentral.
CCAGUAACGGCGAGUGAAGCGGCAACAGCUCAAAUUUGAAAUCUGGCCCCCCCGGGGCCCGAGUUGUAAUUUGCAGAGGGCGCUUUGGCGUUGGCUCCUGCCUAAGUUCCUUGGAACAGGGCGUCAUAGAGGGUGAGAACCCCGUACGUGGCAGGCCGCCUUCGCCGUGUAAAGCCCCUUCGACGAGUCGAGUUGUUUGGGAAUGCAGCUCUAAAUGGGAGGUAAAUUCCUUCUAAAGCUAAAUACUGGCCAGAGACCGAUAGCGCACAAGUAGAGUGAUCGAAAGAUGAAAAGCACUUUGGAAAGAGAGUCAAAAAGCACGUGAAAUUGUUGAAAGGGAAGCGCUUGCAGCCAGACUUGCCUGCAGUUGUUCAUCCGGGCUCCCGCCCGGUGCACUCCUCUGCGGGCAGGCCAGCAUCAGUUUGGGCGGCCGGAUAAAGGCCCCGGGAACGUAGCUCUCUCCGGGGAGUGUUAUAGCCCGGGGCGCAAUGCGGCCAGCCCGGACUGAGGUCCGCGCAUCUGCUAGGAUGCUGGCGUAAUGGCUGUAAGCGGCCCGUCUUGAAACACGGACCAAGGAGUCUAACAUCUAUGCGAGUGUUUGGGUGUAAAGCCCGGGCGCGUAAUGAAAGUGAACGGAGGUGGGAACCCCCCCGGGGUGCACCAUCGACCGAUCCUGAUGUCUUCGGAUGGAUUUGAGUAAGAGCAUAGCUGUUGGGACCCGAAAGAUGGUGAACUAUGCCUGAAUAGGGUGAAGCCAGAGGAAACUCUGGUGGAGGCU